UCCCAAGGCUAAAUACUACCUGAUGACCGAUAGUGAAGCAGUACCGUGAGGGAAAGGUGAAAAGAACCCCGGGAGGGGAGUGAAAUAGAACCUGAAACCGUGUGCCUACAACCGCUCAGAGCCCCUUAUGAGGGUGAUGAGGUGCUUUUUGUAGAACGAGCCAACGAGUUACGGUAUGUAGCAAGGUUAAGUACUUAAGGUACGGAGCCGAAGGGAAACCGAGUCUGAAUAGGGCGACUAGUUGCAUGCCGUAGACCCGAAACCGGGUGACCUAUCCAUGGCCAGGUUGAAGCGAGGGUAAAACCUCGUGGAGGACCGAACCACGUUGCUGUUGAAAAAGCAUGGGAUGAGCUGUGGAUAGCGGAGAAAUUCCAAUCGAACCCGGAGAUAGCUGGUUCUCUCCGAAAUAGCUUUAGGGCUAGCGUCGAGUAUGAGUAGUGGAGGUAGAGCACUGAAUGGGCUAGGGGGCAUAGCGCUUACCGAACCUUAUCAAACUCCGAAUGCCACAUACUUUGAGCUCGGCAGUCAGACUACGAAUGAUAAGAUCCGUGGUCAAAAGGGAAACAGCCCAGAUCGUCAGCUAAGGUCCCAAAGUGUAAGUUAAGUGGGAAAGGAUGUGAGAUUUCUAAGACAACUAGGAUGUUGGCUUAGAAGCAGCCAUUCAUUAAAAGAGUGCGUAAUAGCUCACUAGUCGAGAGAUCUUGCGCCGAAAAUGUAACGGGGCUAAACUUACCACCGAAGCUACGGGCUUGAACUUAGUUCAAGCGGUAGGAGAGCGUCGUAACCGGGCUGAAGUCGUACCGUAAGGAGCGGUGGACUGGUUACGAGUGAGAAUGUUGGCAUCAGUAGCGAGAUGUGGGUGAGAAUCCCACAGGCCGAAAACCUAAGGUUUCCUCAGGAAGGUUCGUCCGCUGAGGGUUAGUCGGGACCUAAGCCGAGGCCGAAAGGCGUAGGUGAUGGACAACUGGUUGAUAUUCCAGUACCACUACCAUCGUUAUUAUCGAUGGCGUGACGCAGGAGGAUAGUGUGUGCUAGCUAUUGGAUGCUAGUCUAAGCGUUUAGGCAGUGAGAGUAGGCAAAUCCGCUCUCAUAAUGCUGAGGCGUGAUGGGGAAGGUUCCACGGAACCGAAGUACAUGAUUCCACGCUGCCAAGAAAAGCGUCUAGAGAGAGAAGUAGUGCCCGUACCGCAAACCGACACAGGUAGGUGAGGAGAGAAUCCUAAGGCCGGCGGAAGAAUUACAGUUAAGGAACUCGGCAAAUUGACCCCGUAAGUUCGCGAGAAGGGGUGCCUACGAGAGUAGGCCGCAGAGAAUAGGCCCAAGCAACUGUUUAGCAAAAACACAGGUCUCUGCUAAAGCGUAAGCUGAUGUAUAGGGGCUGACGCCUGCCCGGUGCUGG
This 1399-nucleotide ribosomal RNA is filed under the name Clostridium celatum. RNAcentral describes it as "partial 23S ribosomal RNA". It matches the Rfam family "Bacterial large subunit ribosomal RNA", at positions 458 to 1872 of the family's 2925-position model. The record is from RNAcentral. Lineage: Bacteria; Bacillati; Bacillota; Clostridia; Eubacteriales; Clostridiaceae.